AACGUACGCUGGCGGCACGCCUAACACAUGCAAGUCGAACGAAGUAGCAAUACUUAGUGGCAGACGGGUGAGUAACAUGUAGGUAUCUGCCCUUUGGCCUGGAAUAACACGAGGAAACUUGUGCUAAUACCGGAUAAGUCUUUACGGAGAAAGCUUUAUGCACCAUUGGAUGAGCCUGCACUUGAUUAGUUUGUUGGUGGGGUAAUGGCCUACCAAGACUGUGAUCAAUAGCUGAUUUGAGAGGAUGAUCAGCCACAUUGGGACUGAGACACGGCCCAAACUCCUACGGGAGGCAGCAGUGGGGAAUCUUGCACAAUGGAGGAAACUCUGAUGCAGCGAUGCCGCGUGAGUGAAGAAGGCCCUUGGGUUGUAAAGCUCUUUCGUCGGGGAAGAAAAUGACUGUACCCGAAUAAGAAGGUCCGGCUAACUUCGUGCCAGCAGCCGCGGUAAUACGAAGGGACCUAGCGUAGUUCGGAAUUACUGGGCUUAAAGAGUUCGUAGGUGGUUGAAAAAGUUAGUGGUGAAAUCCCAGAGCUUAACUCUGGAACUGCCAUUAAAACUUUUCAGCUAGAGUAUGAUAGAGGAAAGCAGAAUUUCUAGUGUAGAGGUGAAAUUCGUAGAUAUUAGAAAGAAUACCAAUUGCGAAGGCAGCUUUCUGGAUCAUUACUGACACUGAGGAACGAAAGCAUGGGUAGCGAAGAGGAUUAGAUACCCUCGUAGUCCAUGCCGUAAACGAUGUGUGUUAGACGUUGGAAAUUUAUUUUCAGUGUCGCAGGGAAACCGAUAAACACACCGCCUGGGGAGUACGACCGCAAGGUUAAAACUCAAAUGAAUUGACGGGGACCCGCACAAGUAGUGGAGCAUGUGGUUUAAUUCGAAGAUACGCGCAGAACCUUACCAACACUUGACAUGUUCGUCGCGACUCUAAGAGAUUAGAGUUUUUGGUUCGGCCGGACGAAACACAGGUGCUGCAUGGCUGUCGUCAGCUCGUGUCGUGAGAUGUUGGGUUAAGUCCCGCAACGAGCGCAACCCUCACUUUUAGUUGCCAUCAUUAAGUUGGGCACUCUGAAAGAACUGCCAGUGAUAAGCUGGAGGAAGGUGGGGAUGACGUCAAGUCCUCAUGGCCCUUACGUGUUGGGCUACACACGUGCUACAAUGGUAUCUACAACAGGAAGCAAGACUGCGAAGUUAAGCAAAUCCCUAAAAGAUACCUCAGUUCGGAUUGCACUCUGCAACUCGAGUGCAUGAAGCUGGAAUUACUAGUAAUCGUGGAUCAGCGUGCCACGGUGAAUGCGUUCCCGGGUCU
This 1306-nucleotide ribosomal RNA is filed under the name uncultured bacterium. RNAcentral describes it as "bacterial SSU rRNA". It matches the Rfam family "Bacterial small subunit ribosomal RNA", at positions 28 to 1381 of the family's 1533-position model. The record is from RNAcentral.